UACGUAGGGCGCAAGCGUUGUCCGGAAUUAUUGGGCGUAAAGAGCUCGUAGGUGGCUUGUCACGUCGGGUGUGAAAGCUUGGGGCUUAACUCCAGGUCUGCAUUCGAUACGGGCUGGCUAGAGGUAGGUAGGGGAGAACGGAAUUCCUGGUGUAGCGGUGAAAUGCGCAGAUAUCAGGAAGAACACCCGUGGCGAAGGCGGCUCUCUGGGGACGGUACUGACGCUGAGACGCGAAAGCGUGGGGAGCGAACAGG
RNAcentral lists this ribosomal RNA (254 nucleotides) under uncultured bacterium. RNAcentral describes it as "partial 16S ribosomal RNA". It matches the Rfam family "Bacterial small subunit ribosomal RNA", at positions 524 to 776 of the family's 1533-position model. The record is from RNAcentral.